Sander lucioperca (pikeperch) is the source of this 150-nucleotide long non-coding RNA. RefSeq lists it as uncharacterized. The transcript is spliced from 3 exons. NCBI's taxonomy places the organism in Eukaryota, Metazoa, Chordata, Actinopteri, Perciformes, Percidae. The record is from RefSeq and is a predicted model, not a curated record.
CCUCUUUUCAGCAGAGGGUUGUUGACCUUUAAAGUCAAUAUAGCGAUCAUGUGACCAGUCACUCUUGAAGGACACACAGCUGGGUUCAGGUUCAGGUCCAGGUUCAGGAUCAGGUUCAGGUUCAGCAGGGUCUGGUCUCUGAUGGGUCCU